This 253-nucleotide ribosomal RNA is filed under the name uncultured bacterium. RNAcentral describes it as "partial 16S ribosomal RNA". It matches the Rfam family "Bacterial small subunit ribosomal RNA", at positions 524 to 776 of the family's 1533-position model. The record is from RNAcentral.
UACAGAGGUCCCAAGCGUUGUUCGGAUUUACUGGGCGUAAAGGGUGCGUAGGCGGUCGGGUAAGUUCGAUGUGAAAUCUCCAGGCUCAACCUGGAAACUGCAUUGAAUACUAUCCGGCUGGAGGGUUGGAGGGGAGACUGGAAUUCUCGGUGUAGCAGUGAAAUGCGUAGAUAUCGAGAGGAACACCAGUGGCGAAGGCGAGUCUCUGGACAUCUCCUGACGCUGAGGAACGAAAGCCAGGGGAGCAAACAGG